Molecule: ribosomal RNA, 653 nt
Filed under: Ammoniphilus sp. DHB-S111
Lineage: Bacteria; Bacillati; Bacillota; Bacilli; Caryophanales; Paenibacillaceae
Description: bacterial SSU rRNA
Rfam family: Bacterial small subunit ribosomal RNA
Source: RNAcentral
AACGGGUGAGUAACACGUGGGCAACCUGCCUGACAGACUGGGAUAACUUGGGGAAACUCAAGCUAAUACCGGAUAGGAUCGCAAGCUGCAUGGUUUGCGAUGGAAAGUCUGAACGACACUGUCAGAUGGGCCCGCGGCGCAUUAGCUAGUUGGUGGGGUAAUGGCCUACCAAGGCGACAAUGCGUAGCCAACCUGAGAGGGUGACCGGCCACACUGGGACUGAGACACGGCCCAAACUCCUACGGGAGGCAGCAGUAGGGAAUCUUCCACAAUGGGCGAAAGCCUGAUGGAGCAACGCCGCGUGAGUGAUGAAGGUUUUCGGAUCGUAAAACUCUGUUGUUAGGGAAGAACACCCGGGAGAGGAUCCCGGUUUGACGGUACCUGACGAGAAAGCCCCGGCUAACUACGUGCCAGCAGCCGCGGUAAUACGUAGGGGGCAAGCGUUGUCCGGAAUUAUUGGGCGUAAAGCGCGCGCAGGCGGCUUACUAAGUCUGGUGUGAAAGCCCACGGCUCAACCGUGGAGGGCCAUUGGAAACUGGUAAGCUUGAGUGCAGGAAAGGAGAGCGGAAUUCCCGGUGUAGCGGUGAAAUGCGUAGAUAUCGGGAGGAACACCCGUGGCGAAGGCGGCUCUCUGGCCUGUAACUGACGCUAAG